GGUCCUUUGGCGCAAUGGUAGCGCGUCACUUUCCGGUUUUCUUCUGGUUAGUUGGUGAAGGUUCACGGUUCGAGUCCGUGGAGGAUCG
This 88-nucleotide transfer RNA is filed under the name Coniella lustricola. It matches the Rfam family "tRNA". Rfam says of the family: Transfer RNA (tRNA) molecules are approximately 80 nucleotides in length. Their secondary structure includes four short double-helical elements and three loops (D, anti-codon, and T loops). Further hydrogen bonds mediate the characteristic L-shaped molecular structure. tRNAs have two regions of fundamental functional importance: the anti-codon, which is responsible for specific mRNA codon recognition, and the 3' end, to which the tRNAs corresponding amino acid is attached (by aminoacyl-tRNA synthetases). tRNAs cope with the degeneracy of the genetic code in two manners: having more than one tRNA (with a specific anti-codon) for a particular amino acid; and 'wobble' base-pairing, i.e. permitting non-standard base-pairing at the 3rd anti-codon position. The record is from Rfam by way of RNAcentral. Lineage: Eukaryota; Fungi; Ascomycota; Sordariomycetes; Diaporthales; Schizoparmaceae.